Homo sapiens (human) is the source of this 336-nucleotide long non-coding RNA. NCBI's taxonomy places the organism in Eukaryota, Metazoa, Chordata, Mammalia, Primates, Hominidae. The record is from Ensembl.
CCACUCACCAGCAAUGCUAUACUAGGCUUCAGUGUCUUAUGAAGAAUGGUAGUACUUCACAGAGAUUAAGGACCUUUCAUGAAGAAUGCUCCCUAAGCCUAUUUCUACCAUUUAUCUGGAAACCAGUCUGCAAACUUGUGACCUCUUUGUUAUGUUAGAAAACAUAAGCUGUGCUCUCACUUAUAUAAAUCAGUGUUUCUUUCCUCUCCAAAUAUUCCUGGGAACAUUAAUUUGCCUGCUGUUGGCUAGCCAAUCUACCAUCCCCGGAAUUAAAGCCAGAGACUAACAGAAAAUUGAGACUCAAUUUGGGACUUUUUGACAAGGAAAUUAAUGAAA